UGGGGAAUAUUGGACAAUGGGGGAAACCCUGAUCCAGCAAUGCCGCGUGAGUGAAGAAGGCCUUAGGGUUGUAAAGCUCUUUCGCCCGCGAAGAUAAUGACGGUAGCGGGAGAAGAAGCCCCGGCUAACUCCGUGCCAGCAGCCGCGGUAAUACGGAGGGGGCUAGCGUUGUUCGGAAUUACUGGGCGUAAAGCGUACGUAGGCGGAUGCGCAAGUUGGGGGUGAAAUCCCGGGGCUUAACCUCGGAAUUGCCCUCAAAACUGCACGUCUUGAGACCGAGGGAGGUAAGGGGAAUUCCUAGUGUAGAGGUGAAAUUCGUAGAUAUUAGGAAGAACACCAGUGGCGAAGGCGCCUUACUGGCUCGGUACUGACGCUGAGGUACGAAAGCGUGGGGAGCAAACA
RNAcentral lists this ribosomal RNA (402 nucleotides) under uncultured bacterium. RNAcentral describes it as "bacterial SSU rRNA". It matches the Rfam family "Bacterial small subunit ribosomal RNA", at positions 355 to 774 of the family's 1533-position model. The record is from RNAcentral.